Molecule: ribosomal RNA, 497 nt
Filed under: uncultured bacterium
Lineage: Bacteria
Description: partial 16S ribosomal RNA
Rfam family: Bacterial small subunit ribosomal RNA
Source: RNAcentral
GAUGAACGCUGGCGGCGUGCCUAAUACAUGCAAGUCGAGCGAACAGACGAGGAGCUUGCUCCUCUGACGUUAGCGGCGGACGGGUGAGUAACACGUGGAUAACCUACCUAUAAGACUUGGAUAACUUCGGGAAACCGGAGCUAAUACCGGAUAAUAUAUUGAACCGCAUGGUUCAAUAGUGAAAGACGGUUUUGCUGUCACUUAUAGAUGGAUCCGCGCCGCAUUAGCUAGUUGGUAAGGUAACGGCUUACCAAGGCAACGAUGCGUAGCCGACCUGAGAGGGUGAUCGGCCACACUGGAACUGAGACGCGGUCCAGACUCCUACGGGAGGCAGCAGUAGGGAAUCUUCCGCAAUGGGCGAAAGCCUGACGGAGCAACGCCGCGUGAGUGAUGAAGGUCUUCGGAUCGUAAAACUCUGUUAUUAGGGAAGAACAAAUGUGUAAGUAACUAUGCACGUCUUGACGGUACCUAAUCAGAAAGCCACGGCUAACUACGUG